RNAcentral lists this transfer RNA (87 nucleotides) under Lentisphaerota bacterium. RNAcentral's name for it is "tRNA-Leu". It matches the Rfam family "tRNA". From Rfam's summary of the family: Transfer RNA (tRNA) molecules are approximately 80 nucleotides in length. Their secondary structure includes four short double-helical elements and three loops (D, anti-codon, and T loops). Further hydrogen bonds mediate the characteristic L-shaped molecular structure. tRNAs have two regions of fundamental functional importance: the anti-codon, which is responsible for specific mRNA codon recognition, and the 3' end, to which the tRNAs corresponding amino acid is attached (by aminoacyl-tRNA synthetases). tRNAs cope with the degeneracy of the genetic code in two manners: having more than one tRNA (with a specific anti-codon) for a particular amino acid; and 'wobble' base-pairing, i.e. permitting non-standard base-pairing at the 3rd anti-codon position. RNAcentral also lists the same sequence under 4 other names. Lineage: Bacteria; Pseudomonadati; Lentisphaerota. The record is from RNAcentral.
GCACCCGUGGUGGAAUUGGCAGACACGUAAGAUUCAGGUUCUUAUGCCUUUACCGGCGUGGGGGUUCAAGUCCCUCCGGGUGCACCA